RNAcentral lists this ribosomal RNA (253 nucleotides) under uncultured bacterium. RNAcentral describes it as "partial 16S ribosomal RNA". It matches the Rfam family "Bacterial small subunit ribosomal RNA", at positions 524 to 776 of the family's 1533-position model. The record is from RNAcentral.
AACGUAGGAGACAAACGUUAUCCGGAGUUACUGGGCGUAAAGGGCGUGUAGGCGGUUUGCUAAGACAGGUGUGAAAUCCCCGGGCUUAACCUGGGAACUGCGCUUGUAACUGGCAAGCUAGAGUGUGGCAGAGGGGGGUGGAAUUCCAGGUGUAGCAGUGAAAUGCGUAGAGAUCUGGAGGAACACCGGUGGCGAAGGCAGCCCCCUGGGCUAACACUGACGCUCAUGCACGAAAGCGUGGGGAGCAAACAGG